RNAcentral lists this ribosomal RNA (490 nucleotides) under uncultured bacterium. Its description in RNAcentral is "partial 16S ribosomal RNA". It matches the Rfam family "Bacterial small subunit ribosomal RNA", at positions 30 to 507 of the family's 1533-position model. The record is from RNAcentral.
AUUGAACGCUGGCGGCAGGCCUAACACAUGCAAGUCGAACGGUAACAGGAGGAAGCUUGCUUCUUUGCUGACGAGUGGCGGACGGGUGAGUAAUGUCUGGGAAACUGCCUGAUGGAGGGGGAUAACUACUGGAAACGGUAGCUAAUACCGCAUAACGUCGCAAGACCAAAGAGGGGGACCUUCGGGCCUCUUGCCAUCGGAUGUGCCCAGAUGGGAUUAGCUAGUAGGUGGGGUAACGGCUCACCUAGGCAACGAUCCCUAGCUGGUCUGAGAGGAUGACCAGCCACACUGGAACUGAGACACGGUCCAGACUCCUACGGGAGGCAGCAGUGGGGAAUAUUGCACAAUGGGCGCAAGCCUGAUGCAGCCAUGCCGCGUGUAUGAAGAAGACCUUCGGGUUGUAAAGUACUUUCAGCGGGGAGGAAGGGAGUAAAGUUAAUACCUUUGCUCAUUGACGUUACCCGCAGAAGAAGCACCGGCUAACUCCGUG